Molecule: transfer RNA, 71 nt
Filed under: Fundulus heteroclitus (mummichog)
Lineage: Eukaryota; Metazoa; Chordata; Actinopteri; Cyprinodontiformes; Fundulidae
Also listed under: 4 other names
Description: tRNA-Ser
Rfam family: tRNA
About the family: Transfer RNA (tRNA) molecules are approximately 80 nucleotides in length. Their secondary structure includes four short double-helical elements and three loops (D, anti-codon, and T loops).
Source: RNAcentral
AAGAAAGUGGCAGAAUGGUUAUGCGGUUGGCUUGAAACCAAUUUAUGGGGGUUCAAUUCCUUCCUUUCUCG